UUCAGUCUGCUGGAUUAGGACCAGCAUCAUCCAGGAUGCUGACAGAAGCAGGCAUAUUGUUUCUGUAUUUUAAACAACCAUCCAUGGGUGAGGACCUGAAUGGGGCUGAAUUGGGCUGUUGUAUUACCCUUGAUCCAGAAUCUGCCACAUGAAGCUGUGUGCCAGCCCUGAACACCACCACUGUUUGUGUUCCCCCUUCAUACCACCAUUUGGCUGUGUGUAAUUGGUCCUAUAAGAGUUCCAUCAUAUUUCCAGAUGACUAUCCAUCACAUCGUCAGUAAUCUUCAGAAUGUUUAUUAAAGCAGGUCAUUAUUUCAA
Long non-coding RNA from Hemicordylus capensis (graceful crag lizard), 318 nucleotides. RefSeq lists it as uncharacterized. Lineage: Eukaryota; Metazoa; Chordata; Lepidosauria; Squamata; Cordylidae. The transcript has 2 exons. The record is from RefSeq and is a predicted model, not a curated record.